This 465-nucleotide ribosomal RNA is filed under the name uncultured bacterium. RNAcentral describes it as "partial 16S ribosomal RNA". It matches the Rfam family "Bacterial small subunit ribosomal RNA", at positions 28 to 507 of the family's 1533-position model. The record is from RNAcentral.
GACGAACGCUGGCGGCGUGCUUAACACAUGCAAGUCGUACGGUAAGGCCCUUUCGGGGGUACACGAGUGGCGAACGGGUGAGUAACACGUGAGUAACCUGCCCACAACUUUGGGAUAACGCUAGGAAACUGGUGCUAAUACUGGAUAUGUGCCCCUGCUGCAUGGUGGGGGUUGGAAAGCUCCGGCGGUUGUGGAUGGACUCGCGGCCUAUCAGCUUGUUGGUGGGGUAGUGGCCUACCAAGGCGGCGACGGGUAGCCGGCCUGAGAGGGUGACCGGCCACAUUGGGACUGAGAUACGGCCCAGACUCCUACGGGAGGCAGCAGUGGGGAAUAUUGCACAAGGGGCGCAAGCCUGAUGCAGCAACGCCGCGGGCGGGAUGACGGCCUUCGGGUUGUAAACCGCUUUCAGCAGGGACGAAGCUUUUUGUGACGGUACCUGCAGAAGAAGCACCGGCUAACUACGUG